Molecule: long non-coding RNA, 503 nt
Filed under: Elaeis guineensis (African oil palm)
Lineage: Eukaryota; Viridiplantae; Streptophyta; Magnoliopsida; Arecales; Arecaceae
Description: long non-coding RNA (EGUI_LNC081827)
Source: RNAcentral
ACUCGGAAAACCUGUAAAUGUAUCACUUACGAUUUCACCUUGAAUCUAAAUUCCUUUCUACUUAACGUGCUCUUCCCAUUUGGCAUGGAUUUGUCACGACUGGGUAUAACCCCUUCAAACGCCUAAAACAAAGUUAUGUUAGGAACGGAGGGAGGGCCUCAUCCUAACAUACCUAAAAUGAAAGUCCGAUUAUCUCGAGAUCGGAUCGGGGGAGAGGCCUUACAGCGUCCUAAUGUGCCCCCACAGCCAUGUCAGAAACAGGAGGAGGACCUCGUCCUGACAUGAGCAAAGUCAAAGGCUCGGUUCUUUUAGACCGGAUGGGGGGAGAGGCCUUACAGUGCCCUAACGCGCCCCCACGGCCAUAUCGGGAACGGGAGGAGAACCUCGCCCUGACUUGAGCAAGGUCGAAAGCCCGGACUCCUACGGGAGCCGGGCUCCGUCCGUGACUGCUGCGGCAAGGGAGACUCCGCCCGGACUCCUACGGGAGCCGGGCUCCACCCACG